Molecule: non-coding RNA, 186 nt
Filed under: Erwinia mallotivora
Lineage: Bacteria; Pseudomonadati; Pseudomonadota; Gammaproteobacteria; Enterobacterales; Erwiniaceae
Description: Bacterial small subunit ribosomal RNA
Rfam family: Bacterial small subunit ribosomal RNA
Source: Rfam by way of RNAcentral
UAAUUGAAGAGUUUGAUCAUGGCUCAGAUUGAACGCUGGCGGCAGGCCUAACACAUGCAAGUCGAACGGUAGCACAGAGGAGCUUGCUCCUUGGGUGACGAGUGGCGGACGGGUGAGUAAUGUCUGGGAAACUGCCCGAUGGAGGGGGAUAACUACUGGAAACGGUAGCUAAUACCGCAUAACGUC